UACGGCUCAGUAACACGUAGUCAACUUACCCUAUGGACGAGGAUAAUCUCGGGAAACUGAGCAUAAUACCCGGCAGACCACUUAUCCUGGAAUGGUUAGUGGUUAAAAUGAUUCGUCGCCAUAGGAUGGGACUGCGGCCUAUCAGCUUGUUGGUGAGGUAAUGGCCCACCAAGGCGAUUACAGGUACGGGCUCUGAGAGGAGAGGCCCGGAGAUGGGUACUGAGACAAGGACCCAGGCCCUAUGGGGCGCAGCAGGCGAGAAAACUUUGCAAUGUGCGAAAGCACGACAAGGUUAAUCCGAGUGAUUUCUGCUAAAGGAAUCUUUUGUUAGUUCUAAAAAUACUAGUGAAUAAGGGGUGGGCAAGUUCUGGUGUCAGCCGCCGCGGUAAAACCAGCACCUCAAGUGGUCAGGAGGAUUAUUGGGCCUAAAGCAUCCGUAGCCUGUUCUAUAAGUUUGCGGUUAAAUCUAUACGCUCAACG
This 480-nucleotide ribosomal RNA is filed under the name uncultured archaeon. RNAcentral describes it as "bacterial SSU rRNA". It matches the Rfam family "Archaeal small subunit ribosomal RNA", at positions 84 to 564 of the family's 1478-position model. The record is from RNAcentral.